Pezoporus occidentalis (night parrot) is the source of this 1350-nucleotide long non-coding RNA. RefSeq lists it as uncharacterized. Lineage: Eukaryota; Metazoa; Chordata; Aves; Psittaciformes; Psittacidae. The record is from RefSeq and is a predicted model, not a curated record. The transcript has 6 exons.
GCCUCACGCUAUGGGUGAAGAGCCCUAUAAGCUCUUUCCCUUUUUGCUACUGAGUAGCAGAGUCUCCUGGCCCUCAAAAAGGUCAUUAAAAGGAAGGUGGGGCUUUCAGGAGGGGAAAUUCUCCCAUCAGAGGGUAAUUCUCUUGAAUUUUAGACCAUACUAAUGACACCUACUAAACCUUCCCUUCCAGAUUUUACCCACAAGUGGACUGGACAUGUAACCCAGGAAGCAGAGUGAAACCCAGAUUCUCUGUGAAUGCCGCCACGUAUUAGCAGCUGUGAAAGCCGUGCUUCUGCUUCUUAUGCACAUGUAGGGCCAAGCCGUGUUAAAUGGAUUGAUUCUUUCCUCAAGGGUCUUUACUUAAUGGAGGAAUUUCAAGAAGGAUCCCAGCCUGAGACCAGCGACGUGGCUGCUCUACCCUCAGAUUUAUAUGUCGAGGUAGAAGAGAGGUCAAACACACUGAGCCUUCCACUUCAGUAAAAGGUCAGAAGAGCCAGGAAAGCUGUUGUGAUUACUUCUAUGGCAAAGCAGUGCUUCAAGAAACACAUGCCAGAGACAUAGUUGUCUGCUGCUACUUUGGUCUCAGCUAGUUGCAGAAGACAGGGUUUGGCCUGAACUCCUGGUGGGAGCCUCUUCUUCCACCUUCCUGGGAGACCAGUGCUGUGCCAGCAGCAGGCUGAGGUAGUGAUGCUGACUACCAAGGCUGCUGCAGGCAGUGGGACCACUGCCUGUGCCCUGGCCUGGGGUGCACAGAGCAAGAUGUGAGAAACUACUGGACAUGGCACAAGAAACUGCUGGACCUGAAAGAUCACAGAGUGAGAAGCUGGCAGCUUUACAGAGAGUACUGUGAGGAAUUCACAGGUGGUUAAGGAGGAGUUAUGUGAGAAACAACCAAAAUUCACAAGAAAGGUGAAGUAUGAAGGUACUUAAGGACAGCAAGACAUUGGCAUAAGGAUUCCAGUUCAACGUAACCCUCUUCACAACCCCAUGCUUGGACUGACUGCAUUCCUGGGAAGCAGGGCACAGCUUUGUUAACCCAGUAGAGUUGCACCCAGUUGCUUCAGGAGUUAAUUUGGCAGCUUCACUGCAAGGAACCGAUUCAGAAGCUUCUUCAGCUGGUAACUGUGCCUCCCCUAGCAUAUGUGCACAGCACCUCACCUGAUGAUGGUCUAACCCAAGGGGAGGAGGGUGUUGUGUGCCACAGCUGUGAGCAGCUGUACCAUUUAUCUCUGGAGUGAUGGUCCAACAGCUUACCUGAGGAGUAAGAGCUGAGACUAUUGAUUGCGAGCCAUCAGGUUUCAGCAGUUCAAAGGGAUCAACCUCUGGAAAAGAAAGGCAGAAGGAAUAAAC